GGAUAACCUGCCCUUAGGUCUGGCAUAACCCCGGGAAACUGGGGAUAAUUCCGGAUAGAUCAUAGAUGCUGGAAUGCGCUGUGAUCCAAAGCUAUUGUGCCUAAGGAUGGGUCUGCGGUCUAUCAGGUUGUAGUGGGUGUAAUGUACCUACUAGCCUACGACGGAUACGGGUUGUGGGAGCAAGAGCCCGGAGAUGGAUUCUGAGACAUGAAUCCAGGCCCUACGGGGCGCAGCAGGCGCGAAAACUUUACAAUGCGGGGAACCGCGAUAAGGGGACACCGAGUGCCAGCAUCCUAUGUUGGCUGUCCAUAUGUCUAAAUCACAUGUGUUAGCAAGGGCCGGGCAAGACCGGUGCCAGCCGCCGCGGUAACACCGGCGGCCCGAGUGGUGGCCACUAUUAUUGGGUCUAAAGGGUCCGUAGCCGGUUUGGUCAGUCUUCCGGGAAAUCUGACGGCUUAACCGUUAGGCUUUCGGGGGAUACUACCAGGCUUGGGACCGGGAGAGGUAAGAGGUACUACGGGGGUAGGAGUGAAAUCUUGUAAUCCCUGUGGGACCACCAGUGGCGAAGGCGUCUUACCAGAACGGGUCCGACGGUGAGGGACGAAAGCUGGGGGCACGAACCGGAUUAGAUACCCGGGUAGUCCCAGCUGUAAACUAUGCUCGCUAGGUGUCAGGGACGGUGCGACCGUUUCUGGUGCCGCAGGGAAGCCGUGAAGCGAGCCACCUGGGAAGUACGGUCGCAAGGCUGAAACUUAA
RNAcentral lists this ribosomal RNA (756 nucleotides) under uncultured archaeon. RNAcentral describes it as "bacterial SSU rRNA". It matches the Rfam family "Archaeal small subunit ribosomal RNA", at positions 102 to 859 of the family's 1478-position model. The record is from RNAcentral.